This 1053-nucleotide unclassified non-coding RNA is filed under the name Hevea brasiliensis (rubber tree). The record is from RNAcentral. Lineage: Eukaryota; Viridiplantae; Streptophyta; Magnoliopsida; Malpighiales; Euphorbiaceae.
GGCAGUGUGUGUGUGAGAAGUUGCCAAGAUCUGUGAUUUUUCUGAGUAGAUCUGUUGGUGGGGUUUGUUGAAAAAGAUUCAAUUUUGAUCUUGUUUAGAGAAAAGAUGAAUAUAUUCAGGCUUGCUGGGGAUAUGACCCAUUUGGCUAGUGUUCUUGUUUUGCUUCUCAAGAUCCAUACUAUUAAAUCUUGUGCUGGUGUUUCUCUGAAGACGCAAGAGCUAUAUGCUCUUGUCUUUGUUACUCGCUACUUGGACAUAUUUACAGACUUUAUUUCACUAUACAAUACUACAAUGAAGUUGGUUUUCUUGGGAAGCUCUUUGUCAAUUGUGUGGUACAUGAGGCAUCACAAAAUUGUUCGGAGAUCUUAUGACAAAGACCAAGAUACUUUCCGUCAUGUUCUCCUUGUGGUUCCUUGCCUUGUAUUGGCUCUUGUUAUACAUGAAAAGUUUACCUUCAAGGAGGUAAUGUGGACCUUCUCCAUAUUCUUGGAAGCUGUCGCUAUCCUUCCUCAGCUUGUCUUGUUGCAGAGAACAAGAAACAUAGACAAUUUGACUGGACAAUACAUUUUACUCUUGGGCGCAUAUCGGUCACUUUACAUCUUGAACUGGGUAUACCGCUACUUCACAGAACCACACUUUGUACAUUGGAUAACCUGGAUUGCAGGCCUCAUUCAGACGUUGCUUUAUGCUGAUUUCUUCUAUUAUUACUUCCAAAGCUGGAAGAAUAACACCAAACUCGAACUUCCUGCCUGAGCUCAUAUAGAAGUAAACAAGAGCUGGCUGAAGAAUGAUCCCGAUGAACGUUUAUAGGCCAGGGUUAUUCUCUGCCCCGUCCCCGCGGCUGGGUUUUCCUUCUUUUGUUGGCUAUAACUAGGGCAAGAGUAAGAAAAACAUGAUACGAAUCAUAUUUAGAGUCUUGUUUGCAUCAAGAAUUCAUGUCUUUGCUGCUAAGUAGAUUGUUAAAAUGCAUAUUCUUUAUGUAUCAAGAAAACUUUGUGACUUCAUUUUUGUUGUACUAGAGAGAUUUUUGUUUCUUGGACUUCAUAAUUAGUU